This 240-nucleotide ribosomal RNA is filed under the name uncultured bacterium. Its description in RNAcentral is "partial 16S ribosomal RNA". It matches the Rfam family "Bacterial small subunit ribosomal RNA", at positions 94 to 334 of the family's 1533-position model. The record is from RNAcentral.
AGUGGCGGACGGGUGAGUAACGCGUGGGUAACCUGCCUCAUACAGGGGGAUAACAGUUAGAAAUGACUGCUAAUACCGCAUAAGACCACAGCACCGCAUGGUGCAGGGGUAAAAACUCCGGUGGUAUGAGAUGGACCCGCGCCUGAUUAGGUAGUUGGUGGGGUAACGGCCUACCAAGCCGACGAUCAGUAGCCGACCUGAGAGGGUGACCGGCCACAUUGGGACUGAGACACGGCCCAA